Molecule: long non-coding RNA, 7743 nt
Filed under: Homo sapiens (human)
Lineage: Eukaryota; Metazoa; Chordata; Mammalia; Primates; Hominidae
Description: HSALNT0109245
Source: RNAcentral
AAAUUUUCAUUAAAAUCCCUGAUAAUAAUUGGCUGUAUUUAUACAUUUCUGGUGAUUUAUAAUUUUCAGAAAGCUUUCAUGUUAAUUCUUUUAAUCCUCCCAAAAAUCCUAUGAGGUUGGUGUUCAUAUAUGCCCUAUUUUACCAAAAGAAAACAAAACAAAAAACUAGGAAACUUAGAGACACGGAGUAGCAAUCCAAGCUUACAGAACAGUUGUUUGCCUCCACUGUCCCCACUUCUCACUGCCAUUCUGAUUUCCAGUUCCAACCCAUGGAAACUUGUGCUUGGGCUCCUACCACUUGACUAAAACUACUCUCAACAAGGUCUCCAGUAACCUCUUUGUGGGACCCUUUCAGUCCUUAUCUACCCAGACUAUCAUCAGCACUUGACUUUGUGGACCACACCCUUGCUUAGUUUCUGGGACACUACACUCAUUUAUUUUUUUUUUUCUCUUGCUUAAUCUGUUUCUCUUUUAAGGACUCCACUUCCUCUAUCUCAGAGCUUCCCAACAAACAGGAAACAAAGAGAUAUUGUUUCACCCAUGUGGGACCUGGAAGUACAGAACCUUAUAGCUGAUUGCUAUCAUUAGAAGCAUUUUUAUUUUGUGUUCCUGUGAUGGUCAUCCAAGAAAAGUGGAUCUGAAAGUGUGCCUCCCUCCGUCCCAGCAUCAUAUGGCACUCACUGUUCUAUUGAGUAGAUCUGGGAGAGGCCAAGUUGGACAUCAACUUUGGUAGCCCAAAGAGGAGAGUGCACAGCUCAAGAUACAACUGCCUGUGCAGGGGAAGCCAGAAGAUAGCCAUGUGAAGACAGAGAGACACACAAGGAGAACACCAUGUUAAGAUGAAGGCAGAUACUGAAUUGCUGCAAGUCGAGGAACACCAAAGAUUGAUGGCAAAUCACCAGAAGCAAGGAAGAGGCAAGGAAGGAUUGCCAUACAGGCUUCAGAAGGAACAUGGCUCUGCUGACAUCUUGAUUUUGGACUUUUAGUCUCCAUAAACCCAGAGAUCCAUCCCUAGGACCUUUCUUGAGUUCAUCUCCCAUCAAAGUGAAGACAGUGUGAAGAACCAUUCCUGGAAAAUAUCAUCAUGUUGAGGAAUCUCAAAUUCUGGCUAAAUGUAGUACACAAUCUAUGAAAAUUCAUUCACCCUAAGAUAGAGCCAAACAUGCCACAUAUAAUAGCUACCUAGCUCAUGGUGUUAAAGAGAAAUUAUUCACUGGACAUUUGUUGAAAAUGACAAGACAGAAUUUGUUUGAGCUACUGCAAUAGAAGAGAAAUACUUCAGUACAGAACUAAACCCAAUUUUGCAGAAAUAAAAGGUGGGAGGCUUUUUAAACAUCUGGGUGUACUAAAGAAAAAGUACUGAAGGACAGGACAUUAGUGGGGGUUGGCUCAAAAUGAUUAUUAGUCUGUCUUUGUCUGUCAAUUGGAACUUAUCAAAGUUAGGCACCUACACUCCCAGGGAGACUGCACAACAGGGCCUUAUCUUUCUUGGUGAUUACACUUCAAAGGGAUGGCUCCCAGGUCCUUGAGAAAGACAUUCCUGGAAUGUAGAGGAUACACCUCAAAGAGAGAAAAGAUUUACAAUAGCAAGUUUUCUAAAGUAAAUGCUCUAAGAAAAGAGAGAUCAGGGGCCUAUACUCAGGUUUUGGGCUGGAAUGAACAGUAAAUUCUUUUGGCAGUGUUGAGCUUUCUCAGGCAGGCAUUUUAAGGGAUCUGGGUUUGUCAUCCUGGGAACACAGCCUCGAGCUUACAGAAACUAUACUAGUGUUUGCCCAUGUCUCUUAGUUGGGAGGGCAGGAGGAGUUGGGAGAAAUAGUUUGUGCUUUCAGUCGCUGCUCUUAUAGGCCAGGAUUGAGGCCUAGUCAAGAAAAGGGCUUAGAGGAGCCUAACCAAAGUUUGGUCAAGAAGAGUCUUUGUCAACGACUGUAGGAAUCAAUAUAAAUUUCCUCCCAUCACACUAGUGUUCUUAAAGCUGUUAAGUUUUCACUAUAUUUUAAAUAUUUUGUGAAAAGCGUGGGUCAGACUAGAUGAACUUGAGAUGUCUAUUAACAUCAAUGUCCAAGAGGCAGAAAUUUAAUUCAUAUUAGUGGGGUGAGAAUAGAAUGUUUUAGAAAAGCUAAUGAUGAGCCUUCUGAUAUCUCUGUCUUUGGUUUGCAUCUUUCAUUAUAAGUAAGCAAGUGGACUCUGUACCCUUCUUAGAUAUCUUACCUUGAAACAUGCUUUUUUCUUGAGGGAAAAACCCAAAUCAUUGAACAGAUAUUUAUUAAGUACCUACUAUAAAUUAGGAACUUUUCUAGGCAUUGGGGCCACAGCAGUAAACAAGACCAACAGAUGUCUGUCUUGAGGAGGCUCACAUUCUAAUGGUGGGAGACAGACAAUAGGUAAAUACAUAAGACCACUUCAGAUAGAAAAUUUUAUAUAAAAUUACUAUAAAAUAAUCCAAACAGGGCCGGGUGUAGUGGCUCACACCUGUAAUCCCAGCAGUUUGGGAGGCCAAGGCGGGCAGAUCACCUGAGGUCAGGAGUUUGAGACCUGCCUGGCCAACAUGGUGAAAACCUGUCUCUACUAAAAAUACAAAAAUUAGCCAGGUGUAAUGGCGCACACCUAUAAUCCCAACUACUCGGGAGGCUGAGGCAGGUGAAUUGCUUGAACCCAGGAGGCAGAGGUUACAUGAACUGAGAUUGUGCCACAGCGUUCCAGCCUGGGCAAUAGAGCAAGGCUCCAUCUCUAAAAUAAUAAUAAUAAUAAUAAUCCAAACAGGAUUAUUUUAUAAUAAUUGUGAUGUGAUAGAGUGAUGGAGUGGGAGGGAUCUGCUUUAGAUGCAGAGGUCAGAGAACCUCUCUGAGCAGGCAUUUGAAUGAUCCUAUGGGCAUAACAAAGAUCUGGGGGAAGAGCAUUCAGGCCAAGGGAACAUGUGCAAAUGCCUCGAUGUGGAAAUAGUUUUGAUGAGUUUACAGAACAGAAAGGAACAGCUGAAGCAUAAUGAAUAAGCAGGGAGUGGUCUGAAAUGUGGCCAGAGAGGAAAGCCUGGUAAUACAGGGCCUUAUAGGCAGUUGUGAGGAGUUUGUACUUUAUUCUAGCUGCAAUGGAAACUCGUGAAGGUUGUUAAGCAGAGGAGUGAGAACAUCAGACUUAUAGAUAAAUCUUUUCAAAAAUCAUUUUGGUUUUCUGUGAAAAAAGAUUGAUAAGGGGCCAGAUUGGAAGUAGGAGAGUAGUUUUGAGGGUAUUCAAAAAUUCUGGAGGAAUUGUGAUGAUGGCUUGUUCUCAAGUGGUAGUAGUAAAGAUGGAGAGAUAUGAAUGAAUUCAAGUUAUAUUUGAAAGCGUAACUGACUUGUGAGUGGAUUAAGUAAAUGAAAAGGAGAAUCAAGCUAGAUGUAUUGACUUGAGGGAAAUACUGGAGGAAAAUGGGUUUGGAGAGGUGGAAAAGACUUAAGUGUAAAAGGAAAUGCCAAUCAGGCACUGCAUAUAUGAAUAUAGAAUUCAGGAAUGGUAAAAGCUCAAGAUGUCUAUUUGGGAGUCAUCAACAUAUGGACACUUCUUAAACACACCAGCUUUAGCGUUUGGGAAACACAAAACAGAAACAUUCUAGCCAAAUGGGCAGAGGAGGCAAAUGUAGUUUGUCUGUGUUAUUUAUUACAUUUUAUGGUAGUUAUUAUUGCACAUAGGCAUUUUAUAUGCUAUAUGUUAAAUGUGCCCUUAGGCAUACUCGGAAAUAUCAAGGGGGAAGAGAGUGAGAGAAAGGCCUUGCCAUUAAGUUUUAUAGUGUUGUAAUCCUCAAAAUACAUAUCAGUUUCUCAAGUCAACAGGCUCUACCUGCUCAUAAGAACAGUACACUCACUGUGUAGUAAAAAGGCAGAGGGCGGAAGUAUCAGUCAUUAUCUCCUGGUGCAUUCCUACCUUUUUGCUCAACAACUGUAAUAAAUUCAGUGACGCUUAGCUGUCACUCACUUCUGGAUACAAGAGGUUGGAGCAGAAGAGCUUUAAACAGAACUGCUUCCAUGGCCCAUCUGAGGCUAUGGCACAUUGUGUCAUGUAUGAUUACCGGAUAAUUGCAGCAAGUCUUUCAUGGCACAUCCCCAAAGAGUGUCACACUGGCCCUGUAGCAACCAGCAGGCAAUCUGACCAUAGUGUACUUAUGCCUAAUCUCUAUUUCUCAAGCAUCAAAUAAAUUGUCCUUUUUAUGAGAUUGUAUAUUAUCCUGCAGCAGGUCAAACAAUUCUAGAAUUUGGUCAACACUAUUCAGAUAUUAGAGGUGUUCAUUUGGAAAAGUAUGUUUUUCAUUGGCUCUGUGCUUAGCCACAGUGCAACCACACCCCCAGUCUGAGCAUUAUUAAUAAUAAUGAAGUCUUAACAUUAUUGUCAUUUCAUAACUAUUACUGGGCACCCAAAGUUUAAUAAUGAGUUUGUAGAAUUACCAAGGAAAAUUAUACUUCUGAAUCUUGGGCUGAGUUUUACACAGCCCAAUCAUUAUGUUAAAUGAUUAUUUCAAGCUUUAAUUUUCUAUUUUUUUAAUGAAUGCCAUACAUUACUGUCUAAUAGAAACUAUUCAAUCAAGCAGUCUUCUAGUCUUGCCUAAAUGCUUCCAGUGAUCAAGAAUUUUUACCUCUCUGACAUAUUCUGUUCUAAGGUAGUAGAGUAGUUUUAAUACUGAUGUAGUUCUGGUAUAUUCAGCAGUGGUUGGCACAUAACAGAGCUAAAAAUAUUAACUCACAAGCUUUGGAUUAGGUAGUUAUAGCUUCAGAUCUCAUUUCUACUUCUUUAAGGCUGUGAUAUUGGAGACAUUAAUCUUGUAAGCCACACUUUCAUCAUCUAUGAAAUGUGGCUGAAUAUUUACCUUAUAGGGCUUUUUGUAAGUACUAAAUGUGAAGUGCUUAGAACAACAUUUGGCAAUACUGGGCAUCAAUAAAUGGUAGUGAGAUACAACAUUAUUGCCACCCUGUGAUGAGUUCUCCCUUGUACCUCUCACUCCAUGACUCUCACCCAUUUGGGCCAUUAGAAUUGCAGUCUAAAGCUUCCAGUGCUUUAAAAGGGUGACUUCAAGUGACACAAGACUUCAGGUUGUCAAAUUCUUCAAGAAGGAUCUGGAUGAAUUAAUGACCCAAUUCCUCCCUACCCUGGUUCCUCCCAUUCUCUGACUACAUGAAGAUUCUGAAGUAAUCCAUUGGCCCUAAGAGCCAAAAAAUUGGUGCAAUUCCAAAUAAAAGGGAUAAAUUACUCUCCUCCUCUGAGCUGAGGAGGAAUUAGAGAAGAAAGAAUGUGAGACUUUAACUGUUCUCCAGACACUAUUCACCUUGGUGCUCCCUACCCCUUACCCAACAUGGUGAAACCCCAUCUGUAGUAAAAACACAAAAAUUAGCCGGGUGUAAUGGCACGUGCCCGUAAUCCCAGCUACUCGAGAGGCUGAAGCAGGAACUCAGGAGCUGUAGGAGGAACUCAGGAGGAGCCAUCAUAUAUCAUAUAUGGUUUGCAUACAUGCAGAUGUACCCGCCCAAGAAGGAAGUGAGAGGUGGAGUCUCACUUGUGCCUCCUUAACUAAGUCCCAUACUCUGUUGCUGGGCUGGGGGAAGGAGACCCUUUUUCUUCCCACAAAAGCACCAAGCCAUACUGUAUAUAACCGCAUUGACUCAGAGGUGAGGCUUCAUCUAAUUCGCAGGAAGAUAGUGGAGGCAUUAGAUGGAUAAAUUUGUGGGCAUUGCACUGCGCUGUUUUCCCACAGCCUUGAGAGUCAACAGAUUCUCUGAAGCAUUUCCCAGGCUGUUAUACUCUGGGAAACAUGAAGCAGAGACUGUGAAAGGGCAAACUGUUAGGCCAAAGAUCUUAGGCAGUUCCAGAGUUUUACACAGCCCAAGGAGCUCUGGGAAUUGCCAGAUAUCUUCUUUGGCUGAGAAUAGUCCAGGUACAACCCUGACAGCAUGAGGACCUGAGGGAUCCUCAGGCUGGGAUAUAAGGGUUUGGUGUGGAAACCUCAGCGAUGACAGUGUGGAAGGCUGACUAUCCUUGAGGACUGGAUUGGCCUGAAAACUGAAGACCUCAACACCAUAUAACAAGAGUGGAAAGCCUUAGGAGGGCAAGGAUUUUUGCCAACUUUGUUCUGUGAUGUAUGUCUGACAUAUAGGCACUCAAUAAAUACUUGUUUAAAGAAUGGAGGAACAAAGGAAGGAAUAAGACAGAUGAGGACCAAGGAUUAUGUGCUCCCUUUCCACUGAUGUCAAGGUGAAUUAGUUAACAACUUCUGCAUAAUAAUAUUAUUACAAACUUUGCCAUUUAAAAUAACACACAUUUAUUAAUCUCAUAGUUUCUAUGGGUAGGGAAUGCCAGGUAGGCUUAGCUAAGUACCUCUGCUUAGAGUCUUAUAAGACUGCAGCCAGGCCAGGCAUAGUGGCUGUGCCUAUAGUCCCAGCACUUUGGGAGGCUGAGGUGGGAGGAUCACUUGAGGCCAGGAGUUGAAGAUCAGCCAUGGCAACAUAGCAAGACCUCGUCUCUACAAAACAAUUUUAAAAAUCAGUCAUGCAUGGUGGUUUGCACAUGUAGUCCCAGCUACUCGGGAGGCUAAGGUGGGAAGAUCACUUGAGUCCAGGACAUUGAGGCUGCAAGUGAGCCGUGAUUGUGCCACUGCACUCUAGCCUUGGUGACAGAGCAAGACCUUAUCUCAAAAACAAAACAAAAAGACUGCUGAGGCUAUGAUCUCAUCUGAAGCCUGACUUGGGGAGGACCCACUUCCAAGUUCACUCAGGUUGUUGGUAAAUUUUAUUUCUUUUGCAGCUGUAGAACUUCUCUUUUGUGGUAGUAGCCUCUUUUGCUGGCUGACUGUUGGCUGGAAGCCAUCCUCAGCCAGAGGGCUGCCCACUCACCAUGUGCAGUUCCCCAACAUGGCUGCUUGCUUCCUCAAACCAACAAGAGAGGAAGAAGUCGGCACCACAGUCUUAUGUAACAUAAUCACACACAUACAAUUGAAUACAUGGAAUCAUUAAAAUCCCAUCACUUUUGCCAUAACCUAUUGGUUCAAAGCAAGUCAUAGGUUCUGCCCACACUCAAUGGGAAGCGACCACAGAAGGCAUGAAUAUCAGGAGGCAGGGAUUAUAGGGGCCACCUUAAGAUUCCUUCUGUAACACAGGGCACAGUUAUUGUUUUCAGAAUCAAACCUGGGAGAAUGUGGAGGGGGAGAAUCUUGAACUGACCUAGUUUACACCGAAUAGCUUUUUUCCUACAAUUGGGCACUUGAGAUAAAAUCUGAUAGACUUAUAAGAAAUAAAAUUACAUUUUGCAGACCUUAAUAUGUAAUUUUAAAAUUUCUACCUAGCCAUAGGAACUACUGACUUUAUAUUAGCAAAUGUGCCUCCACUCUAAUUUCUAUCUCGUGGUCAUAUUUCUACCUGUUGGUGCCAUAGAAAUAUAAUUUAUCUUUUACCUGAUAACCCUUCAAAUAUUUUAACAAGGAUACACUGUGUCUGAAAAUUCCUCUAAGUUAGUAUUCUUAGGCUUGUUAAUCAUGUAUCACACAAAAGUUUUCUAGAUUUUUCCAAAGUAGUUGCUACUAUCUCUACAUGCCCAAAUAUAUUUGUCUCUUUUAAAGACAAGUGCCUAAAACUAGGUUUUGUGUUUUAUAUAAAAAAUUUUAUCUAGAAUUAUCUAAUUUCUGCUAAAUGGGAUUAUAUUUCUCUUGUUGGUAUAAUGAUAAAGAACUUUUAAAACAAUGGGAAUAACAUUCUAAGAAAAACAACAUACUAUAGCAACAACUCUGAG